GAUGAACGCUGGCGGCGUGCCUAAUACAUGCAAGUCGAGCGAACAGAUGAGGAGCUUGCUCCUCUGACGUUAGCGGCGGACGGGUGAGUAACACGUGGAUAACCUACCUAUAAGACUGGGAUAACUUCGGGAAACCGGAUCUAAUACCGGAUAAUAUAUUGAACCGCAUGGUUCAAUAGUGAAAUACGGUUUUGCUGUCACUUAUAGCUGGAUCCGCGCCGCAUUCGCUAGUUGGUAAGGUAACGGCUUACCAAGGCAACGAUGCGUAGCCGACCUGAGGGGGUGAUCGGCCACACUGGAACUGAGACACGGUCCAGACUCCUACGGGAGGCAGCAGUAGGGAAUCUUCCGCAAUGGGCGAGAGCCUGACGGAGCAACGCCGCGUGAGUGAUGAAGGUCUUCGGAUCGUAAAACUCUGUUAUUAGGGAAGAACAAAUGUGUAAGUAACUAUGCACGUCUUGACGGUACCUAAUCAGAAAGCCACGGCUAACUACGUG
RNAcentral lists this ribosomal RNA (497 nucleotides) under uncultured bacterium. RNAcentral describes it as "partial 16S ribosomal RNA". It matches the Rfam family "Bacterial small subunit ribosomal RNA", at positions 28 to 507 of the family's 1533-position model. The record is from RNAcentral.